UUUUAUGGAGAGUUUGAUCCUGGCUCAGGAUGAACGCUGGCGGCGUGCCUAAUACAUGCAAGUCGAGCGAACGGACGAGAAGCUUGCUUCUCUGAUGUUAGCGGCGGACGGGUGAGUAACACGUGGAUAACCUACCUAUAAGACUGGGAUAACUUCGGGAAACCGGAGCUAAUACCGGAUAAUAUUUUGAACCGCAUGGUUCAAAAGUGAAAGACGGUCUUGCUGUCACUUAUAGAUGGAUCCGCGCUGCAUUAGCUAGUUGGUAAGGU
RNAcentral lists this ribosomal RNA (269 nucleotides) under Staphylococcus aureus. RNAcentral describes it as "partial 16S ribosomal RNA". It matches the Rfam family "Bacterial small subunit ribosomal RNA", at positions 1 to 258 of the family's 1533-position model. Lineage: Bacteria; Bacillati; Bacillota; Bacilli; Caryophanales; Staphylococcaceae. The record is from RNAcentral.